RNAcentral lists this ribosomal RNA (291 nucleotides) under uncultured bacterium. RNAcentral describes it as "partial 16S ribosomal RNA". It matches the Rfam family "Bacterial small subunit ribosomal RNA", at positions 505 to 796 of the family's 1533-position model. The record is from RNAcentral.
GUGCCAGCAGCCGCGGUAAUACGUAGGGGGCAAGCGUUGUCCGGAAUUAUUGGGCGUAAAGCGCGCGCAGGCGGCUGUUUAAGUCGGGUGUCUAAGAUCGGAGCUCAACUCCGAGUCGCAUCCGAAACUGGGCAGCUUGAGUGUAGGAGAGGAAAGUGGAAUUCCACGUGUAGCGGUGAAAUGCGUAGAGAUGUGGAGGAACACCAGUGGCGAAGGCGACUUUCUGGCCUAUAACUGACGCUGAGGCGCGAAAGCGUGGGGAGCAAACAGGAUUAGAUACCCUGGUAGUCC